AUUGAACGCUGGCGGCAGGCCUAACACAUGCAAGUCGAACGAGUGGCGGACGGGUGAGUAAUGUCUGGGAAACUGCCCUAUGGAGGGGGAUAACUACUGGAAACGGUCGCUAAUACCCAAUACCAUAGGAUGUUCCCAGAUGGGAUUAGCUAGUAGGUGGGGUAACGGCUCACCUAGGAGACGAUCCCUAGCUGGUCUGAGAGGAUGACCAGCCACGCUGGAACUGAGACACGGUCCAGACUCCUACGGGAGGCAGCAGUGGGGAAUAUUGCACAAUGGGCGCAAGCCGGAUGCAGCCAUGCCGCGUGUAUGAAGAAGGCCUUCGGGUUGUAAAGUACUUUCAGCGAGGAGGCGUUACUCGCAGAAGAAGCACCGGCUAACUCCGUGCCAGCAGCCGCGGUAAUUC
Molecule: ribosomal RNA, 406 nt
Filed under: uncultured bacterium
Lineage: Bacteria
Description: partial 16S ribosomal RNA
Rfam family: Bacterial small subunit ribosomal RNA
Source: RNAcentral